Molecule: ribosomal RNA, 384 nt
Filed under: uncultured soil bacterium
Lineage: Bacteria
Description: bacterial SSU rRNA
Rfam family: Bacterial small subunit ribosomal RNA
Source: RNAcentral
AGAACGAACGCUGGCGGCAUGCCUAAUACAUGCAAGUCGAACGAACUCUUCGGAGUUAGUGGCGCACGGGUGCGUAACGCGUGGGAAUCUGCCCCUUGGUUCGGAAUAACAGUUGGAAACGACUGCUAAUACCGGAUGAUGACGAAAGUCCAAAGAUUUAUCGCCAAGGGAUGAGCCCGCGUAGGAUUAGCUAGUUGGUGAGGUAAGGCUCACCAAGGCAACGAUCCUUAGCUGGUCUGAGAGGAUGAUCAGCCACACUGGGACUGAGACACGGCCCAGACUCCUACGGGAGGCAGCGAGUAGGGAAUAUUGGGACAAGUGGGACGAAAGCCUGAAUCCAGACAAGUGCCGCGUGAGUUGAGUAGAAGGUCCGUUUAAGGGUUA